UCAGGACGAACGCUGGCGGCGUGCCUAAUACAUGCAAGUCGAACGGUCUUUCUAUGGAAGCUUGCUUCCACUGAGAAGAUAGUGGCGAACGGGUGAGUAACACGUGGGUAACCUGCCCAUAAGAGGGGGGAUAACAUCCGGAAACGGGUGCUAAUACCGCAUAGUUUCUUGAUCGCAUGAUCGGGAAAGGAAAGACGGCCUUUGUGCUGUCGCUUAUGGAUGGACCCGCGGCGUAUUAGUUAGUUGGUGAGGUAACGGCUCACCAAGACGAUGAUACGUAGCCGACCUGAGAGGGUGAUCGGCCACAUUGGGACUGAGACACGGCCCAAACUCCUACGGGAGGCAGCAGUAGGGAAUCUUCCGCAAUGGACGAAAGUCUGACGGAGCAACGCCGCGUGAGUGAAGAAAGGUUUUCGGAUCGUAAAACUCUGUUGUCAGAGAAGAACAAGUUGGAGAGUAACUGCUCCAGCCUUGACGGUAUCUGACCAGAAAGCCACGGCUAACUACGUGCCAGCAGCCGC
RNAcentral lists this ribosomal RNA (521 nucleotides) under uncultured bacterium. Its description in RNAcentral is "bacterial SSU rRNA". It matches the Rfam family "Bacterial small subunit ribosomal RNA", at positions 24 to 518 of the family's 1533-position model. The record is from RNAcentral.